This 497-nucleotide ribosomal RNA is filed under the name uncultured bacterium. Its description in RNAcentral is "partial 16S ribosomal RNA". It matches the Rfam family "Bacterial small subunit ribosomal RNA", at positions 28 to 507 of the family's 1533-position model. The record is from RNAcentral.
GAUGAACGCUGGCGGCGUGCCUAAUACAUGCAAGUCGAGCGGACAGACGAGGAGCUUGCUCCUCUGGCGUUAGCGGCGGACGGGUGAGUAACACGUGGAGAACCUACCUAUAAGACUGGGAUAACUUCGGGAAACCGGGGCUAAUACCGGAUAAUAUAUUGAACCGCAUGGUGCAAUAGUGAAAGACGGUUUUGCUGGCACGUAUAUAUGGUUCCGCGCCGCAUUAGCUAGUUGGUAAGGUAACGGAUUACCAAGGCAACGAUGCGUAGCCGACCUGAGAGGGUGAUCAGCCACACUGGAAGUGAGACACGGUCCAGACUCCUACGGGAAGAAGGCGUAGGGACCCUUCCGCAACGGGCGAAAGCAUGACGGAGCAACGCGGGGUGGGUGAUGAAGGUCUUCGGAUCGUAAAACUCUGUUAUUAGGGAAGAAGAAAUGCGUAAGUAACUAUAGACGCCUUGACGGUACCUAAUCAGAAAGCAACGGCUAACUCCGUG